This is a long non-coding RNA of Pan troglodytes (chimpanzee), 203 nucleotides long. RefSeq lists it as uncharacterized. The record is from RefSeq and is a predicted model, not a curated record. The transcript is spliced from 2 exons. Lineage: Eukaryota; Metazoa; Chordata; Mammalia; Primates; Hominidae.
GAUUUUCCAAACAGGCAAUUCAUCCUGGAAUCCUUGAAUGUGGAACUUUUCCUCACUAGAAAUGCAGCUGUACAGUCAAGCAGUUCAUCUUGGCAAGCCAAACAAUCACUGAAUUGUUUCCGUGGAAACACCAAACUGCAAUUUGGAUUACCAGAAUCAAAAUAGAAACAAGACAGCUUCAAAAAUAAAUAGCUUUGGAACUU